Molecule: ribosomal RNA, 405 nt
Filed under: uncultured Roseomonas sp.
Lineage: Bacteria; Pseudomonadati; Pseudomonadota; Alphaproteobacteria; Acetobacterales; Roseomonadaceae
Description: bacterial SSU rRNA
Rfam family: Bacterial small subunit ribosomal RNA
Source: RNAcentral
UGGGGAAUAUUGGACAAUGGGCGAAAGCCUGAUCCAGCAAUGCCGCGUGGGUGAAGAAGGUCUUCGGAUCGUAAAGCCCUUUCGACGGGGACGAUGAUGACGGUACCCGUAGAAGAAGCCCCGGCUAACUUCGUGCCAGCAGCCGCGGUAAUACGAAGGGGGCGUAGCGUUGCUCGGAAUUACUGGGCGUAAAGGGCGCGUAGGCGGCGGCCCAAGUCAGGCGUGAAAUUCCUGGGCUCAACCUGGGGACGUGCGCUUGAUACUGGGUUGCUUGAGGAUGGAAGAGGCUCGUGGAAUUCCCAGUGUAGAGGUGAAAUUCGUAGAUAUUGGGAAGAACACCGGUGGCGAAGGCGGCGAGCUUGGUCCAUUACUGACGCUGAGGCGCGACAGCGUGGGGAGCAAACA